GAUAAACGCUGGCGGCAUGCCUAACACAUGCAAGUCGAACGGCAGCAUGAAUAGGGGUAACCUUAUUUGAUGGCGAGUGGCGGACGGGUGAGUAAUAUGUAGGAAUCUACCUAGAGGAGGGGGAUAACUUGGGGAAACCCAAGCUAAUACCACAUAAGCCCUACGGGGGAAAGCAGGGGAUCGAAAGACCUUGCGCCUUAUGAUGAGCCUACAUCGGAUUAGCUAGUUGGUGGGGUAAAGGCCUACCAAGGCGACGAUCCGUAGCUGGUCUGAGAGGAUGAUCAGCCACACUGGGACUGAGACACGGCCCAGACUCCUACGGGAGGCAGCAGUGGGGAAUAUUGGACAAUGGGCGAAAGCCUGAUCCAGCAAUGCCGCGUGUGUGAAGAAGGCCUUAGGGUUGUAAAGCACUUUCAGUAGGGAGGAAGGUUGUAAUGCUAAUAUCAUUGCAAAUUGACGUUACCUACAGAAGAAGCACCGGCUAACUCUGUGCCAGCCGCCGCAGUAA
Molecule: ribosomal RNA, 508 nt
Filed under: uncultured bacterium
Lineage: Bacteria
Description: partial 16S ribosomal RNA
Rfam family: Bacterial small subunit ribosomal RNA
Source: RNAcentral